CACAAUGCUCUGUAGGUGUCACUGGGAAUGUCUGAGAGGAGAGAAUGUAAGAAACCUUGUUGUAGCCACGCUGGUCUCUUGGGGGUACAUUUUCUGAGAGCCCUACGCCAGCAGGUAAGAAGCCUGGCUAUCUUGAGUCACAUGAAUGUUAGACCCCCUGGAACAAGCCACCUGCCUGCAGGACGGCAUUGUCCAAUUUCGGUGGAUCCCACACAGCAGAAAAAUCAUCCGAAAUUCUCAAAAGUCUCUGGCCCACAAAAUGAGAGAGCCCUGCUUUCACUUGCUUUAUUCUUCUGCAGUGAUAGAUAGCAGAACGCUGCGGCUAGGCAGGUUGUACUCUGUUCCCCUUCUCCAUCACUUGGUUCUACUUAGCAUAACCAGUCUUGGGAUGUGUGGUCCUCAGCGUUUGAAAUGAAUAUCAGAGACCACAUGGAAGUCAUUGGUCUCAAGAGUUUGACUUGGCAGGAUUCCUUGAACGUAUUUCUGGACUAUCCUGUUAAUUUAUGGUUCCUUGUUUAAUUUUGCGGUCAGACAGGACACAAGAAUCGCCAGUGUUCUAGAGUACAGGGCUUGCUGGAUUUCUCUUCAUGCAGAAACAACAAAGCAAUCUCUAAAGCUCCUGCUAGAAAUUGAAGCUCCCCAGUUAUCUGUGGGGGUAACUUUUCCAAGAGGCUUAAAUCCUGAAUCAAGAUUCACUUGGAGAACUCUUAUGGCUUAAAUAUGAAAGGCUUAUUCUUUGAAUAUUGGUCUCCAGCUGGCCGUACUGAAUCCGGGGGUUUGUGGAGAGUCGGAGGAGAGAUCUCCUUGGAGGAAGUAGAUCAAGGACCGUACACUCUUCAAGGUUGUACCUGGUCCCCAGUCCCUGUUUCCCCCUCUGCUUCCAGUCCUACGAAGUGAGCUACCACCUCCUCCGUAAGCUCCCAUUAUCAUUCCGCAAGUGUGUGGAGCUAACCACCCAUGCGCUGAGCCUUCUGAAUCAGGAGCCAACAUGGAGCUUUCUGUAGUGUUCCCUCAGGUAUUCUGGCCACAGAAAUGAAACACUAACCAAUUCAACUACCCAGACAUCCAGAGCAUUCAGAACUCUCUCUUCACUUCCCUCACGUCUCCACAGACUGGACCCCACCCCACAGGAUGGUAGAGCUCACAUGUAAGGUGUUUUGUCUGCAUGUCUGAGGCACGUUCAUGCCUCAGAGGCAGGGGUGGGGCAUCAGAUCCCCUGGAACUGGAGUUACAGAUGGUUAUAAGUCAAUAAGUGGAUGCUGAGACUUGAACCCAGGUCCUCUGAAAGAGCAGCCAGUCCCCCUAACUCCUGAGCCAUCUCUUCAGAUUACCCCCACCCUCUUAAUCCAGUCAAGAUGACAACCGAAAAGAACCAGGUUCCUCACCAGGUCACAACAAAUGGAGAAUACGUGUGUUGAAAGAUGUCCCAUCCCAUCUACCCCGUCAACAGAAAAUGACAAAUGAAAGCAAUGUACAGUAAUACCACAGGCCUGGCAGAGCAGACAACAGUAGAUGCUGGCCACAAUACCGAUUAAGGCGUUCUCGUUUAUUGUUAGAUGGAAUGAAAAAAUGGCGAUUCUACGGUGUAAGGAGAGAACCAACUCCUACAAGAGAUCUUAACCAGUUCCUGAAAGCUAUCCUCGGACCUCAGGUGUGCCUCAGAGUUCAGCACUUCUCUUCAUUCCACCCUACAGGGAAGCUCAUUAGGCAUCCGAAAGUUCUAAAAGGAGGCUCCUUGAGAUUCAGGAACUAAAGGACUCCCAAGUCUCAGGAAGUUCCUGGAACCGACCAGAACAUACACAAAGAAGACUCUUCUUUCUUCAAGAUUAUACAGCAGUAAAGAUUGCCGAGAGACUCUCCAAAUUGAGCUGCCUGGAAGGGUACAAACUCAUUGAGGUGCCCAGAAGAAGGACUAAGAUUAGUUGAGCUGCCUGGAAGACUUAUUCCCAAUCUGUCCAGCUGGCCCCAGGCUAUGCAAUGAGCUCAGCUUUUGUGAGUUGUUAUCUAUAUUGGGAUGGACGUUCAGUUCAAUUACCUUGGAGUAAUCAUGCUCUUUCAAGUAAUCCCCUACCCAUUUUCCUGUGAGUAACCCAAUAAAUCCAUUGUUUCACCAUGCUGGAA
Long non-coding RNA from Mus musculus (house mouse), 2121 nucleotides. RefSeq annotates it as predicted gene, 39157. NCBI's taxonomy places the organism in Eukaryota, Metazoa, Chordata, Mammalia, Rodentia, Muridae. The record is from RefSeq and is a predicted model, not a curated record. The transcript is spliced from 4 exons.